GCCUCGGCGGUGUGGUGGACAGCACGCGUCCUCGGUAAGUAUGAAACGCGGGUUCGAUUCCCGGCCGAAGCC
Molecule: non-coding RNA, 72 nt
Organism: Parelaphostrongylus tenuis
Lineage: Eukaryota; Metazoa; Nematoda; Chromadorea; Rhabditida; Metastrongylidae
Source: the annotation of a GenBank genome assembly